Molecule: RNA transcript, 3843 nt
Organism: Passer montanus (Eurasian tree sparrow)
Lineage: Eukaryota; Metazoa; Chordata; Aves; Passeriformes; Passeridae
Gene: ARMC9
Gene name: armadillo repeat containing 9
Exons: 27
Source: RefSeq, a predicted model, not a curated record
CGGGGGCGGGGCCGCGGUUGCCGGGGCGACACCGGCGGCGGCUGAGGGGAGAUUGGGACAGCUGUAUCAGCGAUGAGAAGUAGCAGCAGCCCUUAGCAAUGGGUGAUGUUUUAGCGUAUGAAGCUGAGUUGCUUGGACUAGUGAAAGAGUAUUUGGAUUUUGCCGGAUUUCAAGAAACAGUGAAAGUAUUUAAAAAGGAAUGUAAAAUAAAAGGGAAGCCACUACCUAAACCAGCAGAUGUUCCCUCAGAAGAUUCAUUGCCUGUUCAGGAAGAAAUGCUUACAGCAUUUGAAGAUGGUGAUCAGAAAGCCUUCUUCCACCUCUGGGAGGAGCAUAUUUUAUCUUCAGUCCAUGACAGUGAUCCAGUUGCUCAGAACCUGGAGUUCUAUCUCCACAUCUACUUUGCCACCUUCCUCUUGAAACAAACUAUGGGAAAACCUGACAAGGCUGAACUUGACGAAAGGAUUUCUUAUUUCAAGGCAUACCUGGAAACAAAAGGAGCUGCACUGAGCCAGACCACAGAGUUUCUUCCCUUCUAUGCUUUGCCCUUUGUUCCAAACCCCAUGGUACAUCCUUCAUUUAAAGAACUUUUCCAGGAUUCUUGGACACUGGAUUUAAGGACAAGAUUGGAAACAUUCCUGUCGCUGGCUCUUAAAGCCAGACAGACUCCUCGGCUUCUCACUAUAUUUAAGGAGAGUGGACAGUGCAACAAAGAAAUGAUGCAACAUCUUCAUCAGCAGUUAGUGAAGCGUGAGCACAGGUACAUGACCAACCUGAAACGAUUGCGCAAGUUGCAGAUGGACUACCGUGGUCUCCUUGAAGUCACUGCAGAGCUGGUGGAUUCUUUGGAGGCCACAGUCACUGGCAAGAUGAUUACACCAGAGUACAUUCAAAGUGUUUGUGCUUGCUUGUUUAACAAUCAUUUGAAACAAACUGUAACACACAACAUUGACUUCACAAGGCCUGGAACUGGAUAUUACUCUAUGAGCCCUUGUGAUGACGGAUAUGCUUCCACACUGUUAAGGGCAUCUUUAUCCUCUAUGAAGGUGCAGGAUGUGCCAUUGCUGCCCUCUCUGGAUUAUGAGAAGCUGAAGAAAGAUUUGAUUACAGGGAGUGAUCGUCUCAAGGCCCUCUUACUGCAGGCUCUGCGCUGGCGCUUGACAACAUCAUAUCCUGGGGAACAGAGAGACACUAUCAUGCAAGCCUACAUCAGUAAUGACCUCCUAGAUUGCCACAGCAACUGUCAGAGAAGUGUCCUCCAAUUACUAUAUUCUAAGAGUGAGGUGGUCAGACAGUAUAUGGCAAGGCUCAUCAAUGCUUUUGCUUCACUGAUAGAAGGUCGUGCCUACCUUUCUCAGAACCUAACAUUGCUGCAAAUGCUGGAGGACAGACUGAAAGCUGAAGACAAGGAUUCCCUUACAUGGGAGAAUGUUCUGGGGGCUCUGCAGAAAUUCAGCCUCAGGCGCACACUGCAGUCAGCAAUGAUCAAAGAUGGGCUCAUUUUCUGGCUGGUUGAUGUUCUGAUAGACCCAGAUUGCCUGUCUGAUUACAACCUGGAGUAUUGUGCUGCCUUGCUCAUGAAUCUUUGUCUGAGGAGUGCAGGGAAGAAAAUAUGUGCAAGUAUCCCAAACCCCAUGCUCAGAGUUCUUUCUGGUCUUCUUGACCAUGAGAAUCCUAAGGUCCAGUCAUAUGUGAAUGGAGUGCUGUACAGUAUUCUGGCCAUCCCUUCUGUCCGAGAGGAAGCCAAAGAAAUGGGAAUGGAAGAAAUUCUGCGCUGCUUCAUCAAGGAAAGAAAUGAAGAGAUGGUUCGACAGAUGGAAUUUGUUAUCAAGCAACUCAAUUCAGAAGAGCCAUUCAAUGAUAGUAUUGUGUCUGAUGAUGAGGAGGAAGAGGAGUAUGAGGAAGAGGACAAUGACAUCCUGGAGCCUGAUGUGGACAAAGAUGAGGUUUUGCUGCCUCAGCUGGGGGAGCUUUCAGGAGAGAAGCUGCUGACAACCGAGUACUUGGGAAUAAUGACUCACACUCCAAAAACUAAGAAGAAGCAAUUUGCUGGUGUCCAGCAGAGUAUAGAUGAGCCUCUCCAGAGACCUGUGACACCAGGUUAUCACAGAACUGCAUAUCUAACGCCAGAAAAUGGUACCAGUUCCUGUCAUGACAGGGAUGAGAAGCUGCAGUCUCCAGCGAGUGGCCCUUCCUCCACCUGUGGUGGGAGACAGUCCAGCAUUUCUGACUUCUGCAUUUCCCCCUCAUCAGUUGAAAUGAAGUCAUCUGAAGUAUUUGCAUCAGGUCGUAGAAUGGACCAACACAUCCCAGCUGGUGAUACCUUAUCUUCUCAAUCUGCUGACUUCACUGAGAGCAAAGUAAAUGGUCAAUCACACAGUGACUUUGCCCUAGCCUUCACCAGCAAACCGAAGAUCCCUCGCACUCCUGACGGCCAGAGCAGCAGCCCUAGGAAGGGAAAGGUCCCUGCCAUUGCCCCCCAGUUCUCUCAGUCUGGACCCCAACAAUCAAGCCAUCCAAGCUCCUCAGGAUCUGCAAGGAGCAGACAGACUACUUAUUACAGAGUCAGAAAAUGAAAUGAAGAUAAUUUGAAUAACCCAGUAAACGAGCUGGAAAGAGCAUUCUGAGCCUUGUGUGUUGCUCAUUCAUCGUUCCACACAGUUGCACAUGCAGAGAAGUGCUGUGGUUUCGUUCAGGGAGUACAGGUGAGGCAUUGGAAGGGAAUGUUCUUGGUGGCGAAAGGAGGUUUUGACCUGCAGGCUCCUUGCUUCAACACUCCUGUGCUGAGGCAGCCAGUCCUACAGGAAGUGAGAACAGUUCCUUUCCUCGAGAAUCACCUGUCACAUUGUUGAAGGACAGAGCCAGCUUCCUGUAAUGAGCUUUCCUGGUGACCUGCAGAGGAGAGUGAGGUUGUUGACACUGCGGGCCUUGCACAGGGAUUGGGGAUUAUCUGAUGGGAUGUGUCUGUGGGCUCUAAAACUGGCUAAGACAAGGGCCUUGUUAUUAGAAUUCGAGGUCUCAACAGCAGUCCAGGACUGGCAUGGGAGAUGGAUAUUUUCUGGUUGUUUACUCUAAAGUGACAUUGCCACCUCGAGAAGAAACUCUUGCUCUCUGCUUCUGUGUCAGUGUAAAUGGCCUUUGGAAACAGAAUGUAGGCUCAGCCCAGGAGUCUUACCAAGAAACUGUAUUUUUUACUUAUUGCUUGCUGAAGCAGCCUGCCAAUUGCUUUUUUAAAAUUCUGCCUGUGUGACUGGGUUGGGAGGUAUCUGUGUUCAAAGGAUCUGCAUGAAGAGGGACAGUGUCUGCCACAUGUGCAGAGCCUCCCAGCCCAGAGCAGUCCUGUGUGGGGUGAGAUCUUCCUGACCUUGAAGAGGAGGUAUUUUAUCAAAAUCUGGUUGACCUGUAGCAGAUGAAAAACACUGUUACAGUGCCCAAGGCAGCAUCCAUGCUCACCUCUGAGGUCUUUAUCUGCAGCAAUUACUCCUAUUACUUCUUUCUGCAUUUUUUAUUAAUUCUACUGUUUAACAUCUGUGGAAUGAAAAAUCUCUUUCUUUUUUCUUUUUUUUUUUUCCUGGAAUGAAGAGCUUUGCUUCUUCUUUCAUAGAAGAAACCAUGAGAAUGUGAGCAGAUUAGAAGCAACUUUCUCUUUACAUGUAACUGUGCUCCAUCUUCUUUGGUGUUUGUUGUUUUUUUUUAUGUUCUUUGCUUCAGAGCAAUGACUGUUUAUGUCUCUAUGGAAUUUGUGCUGUGUUUGGUGCAUGUGAAGUGCUGGCUAGGCAAGAGAGAUCAGGAAUCCUUCCACUGAAUAAAAAGCAGCAGUUAGUUCUGCCAGUGAAUUACAAA